UACGAAGGGGGCGAGCGUUGUUCGGAUUUACUGGGCGUAAAGGGCGCGCAGGCGGCUCAUUUUGUCAGGCGUGAAAGCCCUGGGCUUAACCUAGGAAUAGCGUUUAAUACUGGAGAGCUAGAGAUUGGUAGAGGGAAAUGGAAUUCCUAGUGUAGAGGUGAAAUUCGUAGAUAUUAGGAAGAACACCAGAGGCGAAGGCGGUUUCCUGGGCCAAUACUGACGCUGAGGCGCGAAAGCGUGGGGAGCAAACAGG
This 253-nucleotide ribosomal RNA is filed under the name uncultured bacterium. Its description in RNAcentral is "partial 16S ribosomal RNA". It matches the Rfam family "Bacterial small subunit ribosomal RNA", at positions 524 to 776 of the family's 1533-position model. The record is from RNAcentral.